UGGGGAAUCUUGCCCAAUGGGCGAAAGCCUGAGGCAGCAACGCCGCGUGUGGGAUGACGGCCCUCGGGUUGUAAACCACUUUCAGCAGGGACGAAAUUGACGGUACCUGCAGAAGAAGCUCCGGCCAACUACGUGCCAGCAGCCGCGGUAAUACGUAGGGAGCGAGCGUUGUCCGGAUUUAUUGGGCGUAAAGCGCGCGUAGGCGGUUUGGUAAGCCGGGUGUGAAACCCCCAAGCUCAACUCGGAGCGGCCACUCGGAACUGCCAUGACUUGAGUCAGGUAGGGGAACACGGAAUUCCAGGUGUAGCGGUGAAAUGCUUAGAUAUCUGGAGGAACACCAGUGGCGAAGGCGGUGUUCUGGGCCUGUACUGACGCUGAUGCGCGAAAGCGUGGGGAGCGAACAGGAUUAGAUACCCCCGUAGUCC
RNAcentral lists this ribosomal RNA (425 nucleotides) under uncultured bacterium. Its description in RNAcentral is "bacterial SSU rRNA". It matches the Rfam family "Bacterial small subunit ribosomal RNA", at positions 355 to 796 of the family's 1533-position model. The record is from RNAcentral.